Molecule: ribosomal RNA, 253 nt
Filed under: uncultured bacterium
Lineage: Bacteria
Description: partial 16S ribosomal RNA
Rfam family: Bacterial small subunit ribosomal RNA
Source: RNAcentral
UACGUAGGGGGCAAGCGUUGUCCGGAAUCAUUGGGCGUAAAGCGCGUGUAGGCGGCUCGGUAAGUCUGCUGUUAAAGUCCAGGGCUCAACCCUGGGAUGCCGGUGGAUACUGUCGAGCUCGAGUCCGGAAGAGGAGUGUGGAAUUCCUGGUGUAGCGGUGAAAUGCGCAGAUAUCAGGAGGAACACCGGUGGCGAAGGCGGUUCUCUGGGCCUGUACUGACGCUGAGGAACGAAAGCGUGGGGAGCGAACAGG